This 73-nucleotide transfer RNA is filed under the name Stegodyphus mimosarum. It matches the Rfam family "tRNA". From Rfam's summary of the family: Transfer RNA (tRNA) molecules are approximately 80 nucleotides in length. Their secondary structure includes four short double-helical elements and three loops (D, anti-codon, and T loops). Lineage: Eukaryota; Metazoa; Arthropoda; Arachnida; Araneae; Eresidae. The record is from Rfam by way of RNAcentral.
ACCUUCGUGGUGCAGUGGUCAGCACGCUCGACGUGUAACCGAGAGGUCCGUGGUUCGAUUCUCGGCUAAAGGG